GCCCUCGUAGCUCAACCGUUAGAGCCUCCUCUUUCUAUAGUUUGUGUAUCAUAAAAGUAUGUGGAAGAUGUGCGUUCGACUCUCACUGAGGCCA
Non-coding RNA from Mycena metata, 94 nucleotides. Lineage: Eukaryota; Fungi; Basidiomycota; Agaricomycetes; Agaricales; Mycenaceae. The record is from the annotation of a GenBank genome assembly.